Molecule: unclassified non-coding RNA, 254 nt
Filed under: Hevea brasiliensis (rubber tree)
Lineage: Eukaryota; Viridiplantae; Streptophyta; Magnoliopsida; Malpighiales; Euphorbiaceae
Source: RNAcentral
GUACAUAUCACCUGAGAAAGUUAUCCAAUAAAAUCAUAAAAGCUGUCAGAACCACUACUGAAACUAGAGAUUGGAUCGGCUUAGAUACAAAGGUACAAGCACAUGGAAAGCAUAAAUUUAGGCUGGACCACUGUCAAACAUAGAGCGUGGACUAGUUUAAUAUAAAAAAUACAAGUCAAUCAAAACCAUAAUCACAUGAAUAUGUCAAACCCACAACAAAUUUUGAAAUUACUUGCAAAUAAAAUCUUAGGCAU